CCUACGGGUGGCAGCAGUGAGGAAUAUUGGUCAAUGGACGAGAGUCUGAACCAGCCAAGUAGCGUGAAGGAUGACUGCCCUAUGGGUUGUAAACUUCUUUUAUAUGGGAAUAAAAUGUUCCACGUGUUGGCUUUUGUAUGUACCCUAUGAAUAAGGAUCGGCUAACCCCGUUCCAUCAGCCGCGGUAAUACGGAGGAUCCGAGCGUUAUCCGGAUUUACUGUGUUUAAAGGGAGCGUAGGUGGAUUGUUAAGUCAGGUGUGAAAGUUUGCGGCUCAACCGUAAAAUUGCAGUUGAAACUGGCAGUCUGGAGUACAGUAGAGGUGGGCGGAAUUCGAGGUGUAGCGGUGAAAUGCUUAGAUAUCACGAAGAACACCGAUUGCGAAGGCAGCUCACUGGACUGCAACUGACACUGAGGCGCGAAAGUGUGGGUAGCAAACAGGAUUAGAUACCCCAGUAGUC
Molecule: ribosomal RNA, 460 nt
Filed under: uncultured bacterium
Lineage: Bacteria
Description: partial 16S ribosomal RNA
Rfam family: Bacterial small subunit ribosomal RNA
Source: RNAcentral